This 303-nucleotide ribosomal RNA is filed under the name uncultured bacterium. Its description in RNAcentral is "partial 16S ribosomal RNA". It matches the Rfam family "Bacterial small subunit ribosomal RNA", at positions 507 to 807 of the family's 1533-position model. The record is from RNAcentral.
AGCAGUCGCCGCGGUAAUACAGAGGGUGCGAGCGUUAAUCGGAUUUACUGGGCGUAAAGCGUGCGUAGGCGGCUUUUUAAGUCGGAUGUGAAAUCCCUGAGCUUAACUUAGGAAUUGCAUUUGAUACUGGGAAGCUAGAGUAUGGGAGAUGAUGGUAGAAUUCCAGGUGUAGCGGUGAAAUGCGUAGAGAUCUGGAGGAAUACCGAUGGCGAAGGCAGCCAUCUGGCCUAAUACUGACGCUGAGGUACGAAAGCAUGGGGAGCAAACAGGAUUAGAUACCCCAGUAGUCCCUGUCUCUUAUAC